UACCGGCAAAGCCAAGCAGCGCCACUGCGGGGAAUUUCACAAAACUCCUCCGAUGAGGCCUUUCCUGAUUCCAGUUAUGUGUAAUUUUUUUACUGUUGUGAUCAUCGUAUCCUUCUCUAUAGAUUGACCAGAGCAAAACACCCAACCACAACGUGAGCCGGAGGAGUCGCCGUACCAGAGUGCCCCACCGCCAGUGGGUUUCAAUUUUUCAUGUUUUUUCAGCCAACCAAGGCCCUUUAACAUGUAUGAAAUCUACCCGAACAAACUAACUCUGAAACCAAGG
Molecule: long non-coding RNA, 283 nt
Filed under: Carica papaya (papaya)
Lineage: Eukaryota; Viridiplantae; Streptophyta; Magnoliopsida; Brassicales; Caricaceae
Description: long non-coding RNA (CPAP_LNC003401)
Source: RNAcentral